CGCGAGCACUUGUGCUCGAGUGGCGAACGGGUGAGUAAUACAUAAGUAACCUGCCCUAGACAGGGGGAUAACUAUUGGAAACGAUAGCUAAGACCGCAUAGGUACGGACACUGCAUGGUGACCGUAUUAAAAGUGCCUCAAAGCACUGGUAGAGGAUGGACUUAUGGCGCAUUAGCUGGUUGGCGGGGUAACGGCCCACCAAGGCGACGAUGCGUAGCCGACCUGAGAGGGUGACCGGCCACACUGGGACUGAGACACGGCCCAGACUCCUACGGGAGGCAGCAGUAGGGAAUUUUCGGCAAUGGGGGAAACCCUGACCGAGCAACGCCGCGUGAAGGAAGAAGGUUUUCGGAUUGUAAACUUCUGUUAUAAAGGAAGAACGGCGGCUACAGGAAAUGGUAGCCGAGUGACGGUACUUUAUUAGAAAGCCACGGCUAACUACGUGCCAGCAGCCGCGGUAAUACGUAGGUGGCAAGCGUUAUCCGGAAUUAUUGGGCGUAAAGAGGGAGCAGGCGGCAGCAAGGGUCUGUGGUGAAAGCCUGAAGCUUAACUUCAGUAAGCCAUAGAAACCAGGCAGCUAGAGUGCAGGAGAGGAUCGUGGAAUUCCAUGUGUAGCGGUGAAAUGCGUAGAUAUAUGGAGGAACACCAGUGGCGAAGGCGACGAUCUGGCCUGCAACUGACGCUCAGUCCCGAAAGCGUGGGGAGCAAAUAGGAUUAGAUACCCUAGUAGUCCACGCCGUAAACGAUGAGUACUAAGUGUUGGAUGUCAAAGUUCAGUGCUGCAGUUAACGCAAUAAGUACUCCGCCUGAGUAGUACGUUCGCA
RNAcentral lists this ribosomal RNA (824 nucleotides) under uncultured bacterium. RNAcentral describes it as "bacterial SSU rRNA". It matches the Rfam family "Bacterial small subunit ribosomal RNA", at positions 67 to 890 of the family's 1533-position model. The record is from RNAcentral.